This 431-nucleotide long non-coding RNA is filed under the name Ananas comosus (pineapple). RNAcentral describes it as "long non-coding RNA (ACOM_LNC020404)". The record is from RNAcentral. Lineage: Eukaryota; Viridiplantae; Streptophyta; Magnoliopsida; Poales; Bromeliaceae.
UAUGUUUUCAAUUUGUAGUUUAAGAAUUCAUAGUUGAGUAGCCGAUGAUUUUGUAAUUUUAUUUUUAUUUCACCGCAAAAAUUAAUAGCUUAAUAAUGAAUUCAGCUUCUAUAAAUUUUUAAAAAUACCAAGUUCUUAGAAUUUGUAGAUUUCGGUCAUUAAAUUAAGAGAUAUACAGUUAGAAUGGUAGUGGUUUUAUAGAGUUGAGCAGAUAUUUGGUUGAAUAAUAGAAUCUAACGGAUAAAAAUAAUCAAAGAGAAAGAUCUACCAGAGGAAAACUUAUAAGCACUAAAUGUUUUGUACCUUUAAGAGCACUAUAACAAGACUCAUAUAUCGCCUUAAUAUUAUUUUUUAUCCUGUUUAAAUAACGGCAUAUAUUUUUAUUGUAAACCAAUCAUUUAAUUAUAAAAUAGUUCAGAUAACUAUUUAAA